GCCAGUGUGGUGUAGUGGUUUGAGCACUGAACUACAACUCUGCAGACCAAGGUUCAAAUCCCUGCUUGGCCA
RNAcentral lists this transfer RNA (72 nucleotides) under Phrynosoma platyrhinos (Desert horned lizard). RNAcentral's name for it is "tRNA-OTHER". Lineage: Eukaryota; Metazoa; Chordata; Lepidosauria; Squamata; Phrynosomatidae. The record is from RNAcentral.